CUUUUACCAUAUACCACAUAGUAUGUUACAGAAUGUAUUUCAUGGGCCAUUGUGCCUAUAAAAACUAUACAACUUUCAGCAACGGAUCUCUUGGCUCUCGCAUCGAUGAAGAACGCAGCGAAAUGCGAUAAGUAAUGUGAAUUGCAGAAUUCAGUGAAUCAUCGAAUCUUUGAACGCACCUUGCGCUCCUUGGUAUUCCGAGGAGCAUGCCUGUUUGAGUGUCAUUAAAUUCUCAAUCCUUCCGGCUUUUCUGUAGGUCGGGAGUGGUUGGAAUGUUUGUGGGGGUUUCUCUGCGGGGCCUCUUGUUCGAAGUUGGCCUCCCCCUGAAAUGCAUUAGCGGGAACUGUUUGCGGGUCCCGUCACUGGGUGUGUGGAUUAAUUAUUCUACGCCAAAAGAACAAGGCUGCUCUCUGUCUGUUCAGCUUUCUAAUCCUGUCUGCAAUCUGUAGAACAACUUUCUGAACACUUGACCUCAAAUCAGGUAGGACUACCC
RNAcentral lists this ribosomal RNA (493 nucleotides) under uncultured Lepiota. Its description in RNAcentral is "eukaryotic LSU rRNA". The stretch from base 71 to 224 matches the Rfam family "5.8S ribosomal RNA". The record is from RNAcentral. Lineage: Eukaryota; Fungi; Basidiomycota; Agaricomycetes; Agaricales; Agaricaceae.